This 254-nucleotide ribosomal RNA is filed under the name uncultured bacterium. Its description in RNAcentral is "partial 16S ribosomal RNA". It matches the Rfam family "Bacterial small subunit ribosomal RNA", at positions 524 to 776 of the family's 1533-position model. The record is from RNAcentral.
GACAGAGGGUGCAAACGUUGCUCGGAAUUACUGGGCGUAAAGCGUGCGUAGGUGGUGCGUUAAGUCUGUCGUGAAAGCCCCGGGCUCAACCUGGGAAUGGCGAUGGAUACUGGCGCGCUAGAGUGCGGUAGAGGAGAGUGGAAUUCCCGGUGUAGCAGUGAAAUGCGUAGAGAUCGGGAGGAACAUCAGUUGCGAAGGCGGCUCUCUGGACCAGCACUGACACUGAGGCACGAAAGCGUGGGGGAGCAAACAGG